GGGGAUACAAUUCAGUUGGUAGAAUGUUUGACUCACAUGCACAAAGCCCUGGGUUCAAUCCCCAGCACCACCA
RNAcentral lists this transfer RNA (73 nucleotides) under Ictidomys tridecemlineatus (thirteen-lined ground squirrel). RNAcentral's name for it is "Spermophilus tridecemlineatus (thirteen-lined ground squirrel) tRNA". It matches the Rfam family "tRNA". From Rfam's summary of the family: Transfer RNA (tRNA) molecules are approximately 80 nucleotides in length. Their secondary structure includes four short double-helical elements and three loops (D, anti-codon, and T loops). The record is from Rfam by way of RNAcentral. Lineage: Eukaryota; Metazoa; Chordata; Mammalia; Rodentia; Sciuridae.